Molecule: ribosomal RNA, 3892 nt
Filed under: Triticum aestivum (bread wheat)
Lineage: Eukaryota; Viridiplantae; Streptophyta; Magnoliopsida; Poales; Poaceae
Description: partial small subunit ribosomal RNA
Source: RNAcentral
CAAUAUAUAGUUCGGUUCCUUGUCUUGUUUUGAACACUUGCUUACUUUACUUAUUAGACGGAAACGGACGGUGACGCUCUCUUUUGCUUUUGCCCUCCGCCCGCCCGCCCGCAUGUACAGCACAGCACAGCGCAGGGCGUCUUUGUCUUUUGUCUCCCGCUCCUACUAAUAAUAAUGUACCCCGCGGAGCAGCAGAAGGAGACGGCUCCGCAACGGGUGUGUAGUGAGCGGUCAUCUCAUGAGAUGGAGUGCGUGGUGGUAGCUGUUGAACUGGGCUCGACUCGUGGAGCGAAGGAGGCGACGAGUGAGUCAGGAGCGGUAGUAGAGGAAGAAAGGUCGAAAAGAAACAUCGACGGAGGAGGCCAGGAGGGGGAGGGGGCGGGCGCGGGACAGGGACACCUGACACGGGGGCGAACGAAACGAGCGACGGAAAGGGGGAGGGAGAGGAGAAAGAAUUUUCCGACGGGGGAGCGUGGAGGAGGGAGAGAGAGAGAGAUGAAGAAGAGAGAGAGAGAGAGACGGAACCGUACCGGCGGACUCCAGUUUAUGGGUAGGGCGAAAGAGAGAGAAAGAGCGCGUUAGAAACAGGGUCUAAGGUUGGGAGUGGGGAGGGGAGGUAGGUAAAUAUAAUGACAGACGGACGGACGAUCACGAGGCGAAGUAGAGAAGGGGUACCGGUACCGAAGGUGCCGCCGCCUGUCGCUCGGGGCCUGCCUCGUUUUCGCGGCGAUCGAACCGAAGAUUCAAGACUCCGAGACUGGAGGGAAGAGUGGGUGGGGUGUGGAUGGAUAGUCAUGUCAGUGACUCAUCGUUCGAGUCGAGUCGAGCCGAACUGAACUUCACCACGCAUCUUCAACCAACAACCAACGCGCCUCUCCUCGCCUACCUCUCGUCUACCUCCUUCCGGUUCUACAGCGACCCCGAGUUGGAGACGCAGAUGCACGGCGCCUGCGACCUGCUGGACCUGCGGCCGGGCGGGAGGUGCCCGAGGAGGUGCCGGCGCGAGCAGAGCGGCCGCCGGAGGAGGAGGAGGAUGCGGUGGUCGCGGUUGUGGUGGGGGUGGCGGCUGGGCGGGUUGCCGUCGCGGUCCCCGGGGCCGCGCGAGUACGGGUGGUGGGGCUGCGGGUGGAGGCGGCCGGAGGCGGAGAGGUUCAGGCCGUCGUUCAGGAAGUUCUUUUGUACACGCUAUACGAACUGGUAUUACUUUGGACCAGUCCCGGUACGAGAUAAGUGCCGUCUCACGAGUGUAUGGAAAGUGAAGGUAACAUAUAGACGUUUACAAUUCGUACCUUCGUUGUUAACAGGUCAAACAGCGUGGCUUACCUUCCUUGAAGGUAAAGCACCGGGCGACCAACGACGUUAGGGAGUUCCUUCACGUUCCUAAUUAGGACAAUUACCCGUCGUUUUACCGCCGGUGUACUGCGAUAACGCUGGUGAGGGAGCACGAGCAAGAAGACCAGCGGAAGUAGUACAUUGAACAAACAACGGACUGUGUCUGGCUUCACAAAAGUUACUACUACUUGGGAACCUGAACACACUUCGUUGGCUACUGGUAGUCGUCCCUACAAGUUCUUGUCAUCUCUAUUGCUGUGUGGGACUCAAGUGACUUUAUGGUCUUUCAUGAAGUCUUUCUUCGAAGUGACAAGAUUAAGUAGAUUUCCGUGGGGAACGAGUCUCAAACGUGCAUGGACCUCUACUGUCAUCGGGUUUGUGACCAGCUCGGGGCCAACUAGAAUAGUGUCACGAACUACAGUCACCAUCGUACCGACCAUGGUUUGAACGUAACGACUUCUCCCGGUACCCCAAACAGUAAGUCUUGGAACCGAGGAGUCUGGCCGAAAGACAGUAGCGGAAGAGUAGUAGACGUGCGUCCGAGAAGGGAGAAGCAGCCUACUGGCUUAGACCAGCAUUCGUUUCGAACGAUCGUCAGUUAAGAGACUGCAGUUUACCACCGUGGUUGUAACGACUCCCAGACUCUUUUCCGAGGUUUCACUAACUUCUUGCUGUCCGGUUCUUAGGUCAGACGUCGUAAUAGGAAAAUAGUCUGCCCGUUCUGUGUAUAUGUCAGAGUGGUUCGUGCCCACGUGUGUUUGGUAAAUGUCAGAGUGGUUGACGGACACGUGUCUUUCGUAGUCGCCUCAUGACACGCGAGAACGGUAGAUGAUUACCGUCAGUCGUCCAUGGUCAAGUACAGAAGCCCAAGCCACGACUGGUACUACGUCAAAGCGAGGUAAGCUAGAGAGUUUGGAGACCACCCUGGAAAAGUAAGUAGCUCUGCCUCCGAUGGUAGGUUCUACGUAAGCGGGUUACAUAACCACCUGAGAACUCACACCAGCGUGUCCUAAACGCACAUUUCCACCUCUCACACGUGGGACUACACGUGAAACCAAGGUAGUCUAGUCCAUCGAUGAGGUCGUCUUAACGUCUACUAUUCUCCUUACCCAGGUAACUACAACCACUGGACAUACGACUUCUCCUUUCCCUAAAAGAGUACUGAGACUUGCAAGGGGUUCCGACACCGCUUCUUUGCCGUGAAGAGUUUCAACCAACACAGAUGUUUCUAGGCGACUACUUCCUCUGGUAGUUGUACCGACUCCACGUCCACUUCUAGAGAUCCGGACGCAAGCACAGCCACGUUUGGCACAGCUAGGUCCACCUGGCCGUCUUCUUGGCAGAAGUACGUCGUCUCCACUACCGGCGCCGUUCCAAGAGGCGCCUCGCACCGCUCGACCGUGUGCGCCAGAGCGACGAGCUCCUGACGGCCUCUUACUAGUACCCCAGACGCAGCCCCGUCAGGCCGCUGGCCGACACGGUCAGCGACCUGCGCCUCGACUUCCUCUACGUCCUCUCCUACCGCUCGGCCGUCUCCAUGCUCCGCAGGCCCGCGCGGAUGCACGACAGCCCGGACUCGAGCGUGAGCACCGUCUCCCGCUGGCGGGCGCCGCUGAGGUGCCUGUCGCUCUCGGACUAGGUCCGAAUGGUCUGCUGCAGCUACCAGCUGUACCAUGACGCGAGGGUCUGUGACUGGGCGAGCAGCUGGGGCUUCGUUUGGGGUGUCUACUCCGUGCGGUUCAGCAAGGGCCGCGCGGGCGUCGGAUCCAUCCAUUUUCUUUGGCGCGGGGCCGUGCUAGCCGCGGCUUUAUUCCUAGAAAUCGACUUAAAUCUAAGACACCUUCGUCGUCAUCACCACACUCAACCUAAGAACCAAAAACAACCCCACACACCCCCACUACCCUAACCCAACCCCCACCAUGUUUACCACACCAUAUUCCUCUACAUUUAAACAAAACCCCCGACCACCACCACCACCCCCACUCCCAUAUACCUCUCUCAAUUCAAUUCCACUCCAUUAAGACAUGACAUCACCCAAUCUCUCCCCCCGACCCCGACCAUAUUCACACGACCCCCUUUUACCCAUUCCAUCCCCCCUUCUUCCACAACACGACACGACACGACACGACACAACCAAUGAACCACAAUCCCCCCAUAUGAGGUCAUAACAACAUACAUGACGAUCGAGAGGAAACACACCACCAACGACCCACCACUACAUGUAUUUCUCUACCAUAUGUAAACACUAGGCUUGGCUUGACUUAGGUUGAGAAACCACUUGACUACGUACCUACGUAUGGAUUAGAAACAACGUUCCGAUCAGGUUAGACGGGGACCCAGACUUGUACCAAUUAAACGUUCGAGACUUAGAAUAAAAAUGACAUGAAGUCAUGAAACCGUCAAGAGAAGAGGACACGACUACCUACAACCUCCGCAACCACCCGUCCACUACGAUGACUAAAGCGUACGGACAGCGCAUACCUCUACUCGACCAUCUUCAUGUAGUGUAUAAAAGUGUAUGGAGCCCACUUAGACAACCUACCGCCGCUAACGAGCAGCU